CAGUCGCCGCGGGAAUACGAAGGGGGCUAGCGUUGCUCGGAAUUACUGGGCGUAAAGGGAGCGUAGGCGGAUCGUUUAGUCAGGGGUGAAAUCCCGGGGCUCAACCUCGGAACUGCCUUUGAUACUGGCGAUCUUGAGUAUGGGAGAGGUGUGUGGAACUCCGAGUGUAGAGGUGAAAUUCGUAGAUAUUCGGAAGAACACCAGUGGCGAAGGCGACACACUGGCCCAUUACUGACGCUGAGGCUCGAAAGCGUGGGGAGCAAACAGGAUUAGAUACCCGCGUAGUCCCUGUCUCUUAUAC
RNAcentral lists this ribosomal RNA (301 nucleotides) under uncultured bacterium. Its description in RNAcentral is "partial 16S ribosomal RNA". It matches the Rfam family "Bacterial small subunit ribosomal RNA", at positions 509 to 807 of the family's 1533-position model. The record is from RNAcentral.